Molecule: ribosomal RNA, 70 nt
Filed under: Bacillus cereus
Lineage: Bacteria; Bacillati; Bacillota; Bacilli; Caryophanales; Bacillaceae
Also listed under: 12 other names
Description: partial 16S ribosomal RNA
Rfam family: Bacterial small subunit ribosomal RNA
Source: RNAcentral
UUUAUUGGAGAGUUUGAUCCUGGCUCAGGAUGAACGCUGGCGGCGUGCCUAAUACAUGCAAGUCGAGCGA